AGUGAACGCUGGCGGUAGGCCUAACACAUGCAAGUCGAACGGCAGCACAGGAGAGCUUGCUCUCUGGGUGGCGAGUGGCGGACGGGUGAGGAAUACAUCGGAAUCUACUCUGUCGUGGGGGAUAACGUAGGGAAACUUACGCUAAUACCGCAUACGACCUACGGGUGAAAGCAGGGGACCUUCGGGCCAUGCGCGAUUGAAUGAGCCGAUGUCGGAUUAGCUAGUUGGCGGGGUAAAGGCCCACCAAGGCGACGAUCCGUAGCUGGUCUGAGAGGAUGAUCAGCCACACUGGAACUGAGACACGGUCCAGACUCCUACGGGAGGCAGCAGUGGGGAAUAUUGGACAAUGGGCGCAAGCCUGAUCCAGCCAUACCGCGUGGGUGAAGAAGGCCUUCGGGUUGUAAAGCCCUUUUGUUGGGAAAGAAAUCCAGCUGGCUAAUACCUGGUUGGGAUGACGGUACCCAAAGAAUAAGCACCGGCUAACUUCGUGCCAGCAGCCGCGGUAA
This 506-nucleotide ribosomal RNA is filed under the name uncultured bacterium. RNAcentral's name for it is "partial 16S ribosomal RNA". It matches the Rfam family "Bacterial small subunit ribosomal RNA", at positions 29 to 523 of the family's 1533-position model. The record is from RNAcentral.